GACGAACGCUGGCGGCGUGCUUAACACAUGCAAGUCGAACGGAAAGGCCCUGCUUUUGUGGGGUGCUCGAGUGGCGAACGGGUGAGUAACACGUGAGUAACCUGCCCUUGACUUUGGGAUAACUUCAGGAAACUGGGGCUAAUACCGGAUAGGAGCUCCUGCUGCAUGGUGGGGGUGGGAAAGUUUCGGCGGUUGGGGAUGGACUCGCGGCUUAUCAGCUUGUUGGUGGGGUAGUGGCUUACCAAGGCUUUGACGGGUAGCCGGCCUGAGAGGGUGACCGGCCACAUUGGGACUGAGAGACGGCCCAGACUCCUACGGGAGGCAGCAGUGGGGAAUAUUGCACAAUGGGCGGAAGCCUGAUGCAGCAACGCCGCGUGCGGGAUGACGGCCUUCGGGUUGUAAACCGCUUUCGCCUGUGACGAAGCGUGAGUGACGGUAAUGGGUAAAGAAGCACCGGCUAACUACGUG
This 468-nucleotide ribosomal RNA is filed under the name uncultured bacterium. Its description in RNAcentral is "partial 16S ribosomal RNA". It matches the Rfam family "Bacterial small subunit ribosomal RNA", at positions 28 to 507 of the family's 1533-position model. The record is from RNAcentral.